GAUCAUGGCUCAGGACGAACGCUGGCGGCGCGCCUAACACAUGCAAGUCGAACGGAGCUAUGUUGAAAACUUGCUGGAUAUAUAGCUUAGUGGCGGACGGGUGAGUAACACGUGAGCAACCUGCCUUUCAGAGUGGAAUAACGUUUGGAAACGAACGCUAAUACCGCAUAACGUCAGAGGACGGCAUCGUCUUUUGACCAAAGAUUUAUCGUUGAAAGAUGGGCUCGCGGCCGAUUAGGUAG
This 242-nucleotide ribosomal RNA is filed under the name uncultured bacterium. RNAcentral describes it as "partial 16S ribosomal RNA". It matches the Rfam family "Bacterial small subunit ribosomal RNA", at positions 15 to 248 of the family's 1533-position model. The record is from RNAcentral.